Phragmites australis (common reed) is the source of this 107-nucleotide small nucleolar RNA. RefSeq annotates it as small nucleolar RNA Z221/R21b. The record is from RefSeq and is a predicted model, not a curated record. Lineage: Eukaryota; Viridiplantae; Streptophyta; Magnoliopsida; Poales; Poaceae. The transcript has a single exon.
GGGCUGUGAUGAUAGAAAGUAUUUAGUCAUGCACCACUCUGAAUAAGAGGAUUUGUUUUCUCUCUGUGCUGACAAACAAACUUACUACCCAUUAUUUGUCUGAGCCU